RNAcentral lists this ribosomal RNA (482 nucleotides) under uncultured bacterium. Its description in RNAcentral is "partial 16S ribosomal RNA". It matches the Rfam family "Bacterial small subunit ribosomal RNA", at positions 30 to 507 of the family's 1533-position model. The record is from RNAcentral.
AUUGAACGCUGGCGGCAUGCUUUACACAUGCAAGUCGAACGGUAACAGCACUUCGGUGGCUGACGAGUGGCGCACGGGUGAGUAAUACAUCGGAACGUGCCUAGUAGUGGGGGAUAACUACUCGAAAGAGUAGCUAAUACCGCAUGAGAUCUAAGGAUGAAAGCAGGGGACCUUCGGGCCUUGCGCUACUAGAGCGGCUGAUGGCAGAUUAGGUAGUUGGUGGGAUAAAAGCUUACCAAGCCGACGAUCUGUAGCUGGUCUGAGAGGACGACCAGCCACACUGGGACUGAGACACGGCCCAGACUCCUACGGGAGGCAGCAGUGGGGAAUUUUGGACAAUGGGCGCAAGCCUGAUCCAGCAAUGCCGCGUGCAGGAUGAAGGCCUUCGGGUUGCAAACUGCUUUUGUACGGAACGAAAAGCCCUCUUCUAAUACAGGAGGGUCAUGACGGUACCGUAAGAAUAAGCACCGGCUAACUACGUG